This 463-nucleotide ribosomal RNA is filed under the name Vibrio parahaemolyticus. Its description in RNAcentral is "bacterial SSU rRNA". It matches the Rfam family "Bacterial small subunit ribosomal RNA", at positions 1 to 450 of the family's 1533-position model. The record is from RNAcentral. Lineage: Bacteria; Pseudomonadati; Pseudomonadota; Gammaproteobacteria; Vibrionales; Vibrionaceae.
AAAUUGAAGAGUUUGAUCAUGGCUCAGAUUGAACGCUGGCGGCAGGCCUAACACAUGCAAGUCGAGCGGAAACGAGUUAUCAGAACCUUCGGGGAACGAUAACGGCGUCGAGCGGCGGACGGGUGAGUAAUGCCUAGGAAAUUGCCCUGAUGUGGGGGAUAACCAUUGGAAACGAUGGCUAAUACCGCAUGAUGCCUACGGGCCAAAGAGGGGGACCUUCGGGCCUCUCGCGUCAGGAUAUGCCUAGGUGGGAUUAGCUAGUUGGUGAGGUAAGGGCUCACCAAGGCGACGAUCCCUAGCUGGUCUGAGAGGAUGAUCAGCCACACUGGAACUGAGACACGGUCCAGACUCCUACGGGAGGCAGCAGUGGGGAAUAUUGCACAAUGGGCGCAAGCCUGAUGCAGCCAUGCCGCGUGUGUGAAGAAGGCCUUCGGGUUGUAAAGCACUUUCAGUCGUGAGGAAG